RNAcentral lists this ribosomal RNA (492 nucleotides) under uncultured bacterium. RNAcentral describes it as "partial 16S ribosomal RNA". It matches the Rfam family "Bacterial small subunit ribosomal RNA", at positions 29 to 507 of the family's 1533-position model. The record is from RNAcentral.
AUUGAACGCUGGCGGCAUGCUUUACACAUGCAAGUCGAACGGUAACAGGCCUUCGGGUGCUGGCGAGUGGCGAACGGGUGAGUAAUGCAUCGGAACGUACCCAGAGGUGGGGGAUAACGCAGCGAAAGCUGUGCUAAUACCGCAUGUGAUCUGAGGAUGAAAGCGGGGGACCGAGCAGCAAUGUUUGGCCUCGCGCCUUUGGAGCGGCCGAUGUCGGAUUAGCUAGUUGGUGGGGUAAAGGCCUACCAAGGCGACGAUCCGUAGCUGGUCUGAGAGGACGACCUGCCACACUGGGACUGAGACACGGCCCAGACUCCUACGGGAGGCAGCAGUGGGGAAUUUUGGACAAUGGGCGCAAGCCUGAUCCAGCAAUGCCGCGUGCGGGAAGAAGGCCUUCGGGUUGUAAACCGCUUUUGGCAGGAACGAAACGGUGUCCGCUAAUACCGGGCGCUAAUGACGGUACCUGCAGAAUAAGCACCGGCUAACUACGUG